This 3991-nucleotide long non-coding RNA is filed under the name Mus musculus (house mouse). RNAcentral's name for it is "long non-coding RNA chr11:44869111-44873102". Lineage: Eukaryota; Metazoa; Chordata; Mammalia; Rodentia; Muridae. The record is from RNAcentral.
UUAAAUGCAACCAAAAUUGCCUAAAGAAUGCAGGAAACCCACGUGACAUGCGGAGAUUCCAGGUGAGUCCCUCUUGCUUUUCUUAUAUCUUAAUCAUGACUUGAACAUGAAGAUGAGGGGAAAACAUUUUUUUUUCUUUUCUUUCUUUCUUUUUUUUUUUUUUGGCAGAAGGUAUGGAGGAUAAUUGUUUCUCUAGAGGUGAAGAGCAGGUGAGGCUACUGGUCCCCAGGCAUCUCUGCAAUCUCAGAGUUGUUUUUGUUAGACAAAAAUUGGGGCUGUACCACCUGCGCCCACUGAUGAAGGCAGCUGUGUCCUUAGAGCCUCAUCUUGGCUUCCUGUAUGGACUCACGUGAUGAGACAGGCACAGAUUAAGUCAACUACACAGAGACGAUGGCUUUAUUUGCUAAAAUUUUUGUAAGUAGAGCUUUGCUGAGGAAGAGCACCAGGAAGUGACACCAGGAAGCCCCACCAUGAUUCUCUACUGUCUCUCACAAUCUCAGCAGCUGCUAGCACCAACUACAGCUUGUAAGUGGACCCUUGAGAAGCAGACCAUAUCUAUACCCUCUGUUCUGCUUCAGGAAUGCCCCUGUACCCCACAUGUACAUUUUAAUAAAUAUCUUCCAGAUCUGCUGCCGUUUAAAGCACACUAACCUGAUAGAAUAUGCCAAAGGACUGAAAACCUAAAAUCAAAUGGAGUGACAUCUCAAACACGGGUGUUUUAAGAAUGCUAGACACAAUACUACUGCAACUUUACGUGUUGAGAAUCCCCUAGGACCUUGUUAAAGUACUGAUUGGGAUGGGGGUAGGGUGGGGCUGGAAUUCUAUGUUUCUAACAAGCUCCCAGGUGACGUAGAACCAGGGAACAGAUCGCAAGUAGCAAAGUUAAGUCCCGGCCCUGCACUGCUCUCCGUCUCACUUUGUGGGUAAGGUAUUUGCCCUGUCAACGUUAUUCGUGCUUGCUCAACCUGUCACAGAGACAGCUUGCUGUUGAAAGUUUGCUCCUACGCCUGUUUAGUCAGCUCAAAGUGCAGUUUUAAGUGUAUAGGCUCCAAAAGGUGCUUGAUAAAUUUCAGCUAUGGGAUCUCUGAAGGGAAAUAAGGAGUUUCUGAGCAUUGAUUGUGGAUGUCAAUAUCAUAGUCUUCAAAAUGAUUUUUUUUAAAAGAAAGUGAGACUUAUUAGUCUCAUUAAAGAAUAAAUCCCGUGGAAGGAUGUUAUCGUCUCCUGAGAUCUUAGAGAAUUUCUAUAAAAUCAUGUUAGCCUUACCACAUUUAGUCUUGAUAGAGCUGUAUCUGGAGAAUCCAAUAAAGUUUUAGUUUCUUAGAAACCAUUUCCUGUCCACCUCUGCCUGCAAAUGGUGAUGCUACUGUUUUCAAAGUAUCUUUUUUCAGCUUAUGCUAUUUGAUAGCUUGCUGCAGUUUUCAGAUGUAUAAUUCCUUUGGUCAAGUUUGAGUAAGGAACAAAUAUAUACAGGCAAUUUGAAUGAAACAAUUUGUGUAUAAUAAUCAUGAGUUUGUCAUCAUCUAUACUAUAUCCCUCAGGGCAGUAGAACUGGAUGGACUUUGGUGAUACUGGGGGUUGCUGCUUGAAGAAUAUUUAUGUAGAGUUUUACAGGACCUGCUAGUGAGUGUGGGUCUUAGAAAUAUAGCUCUGAGGCAAGACAAGAAGUCAUUUCAGUAUUUUCUUUUUGAGCAUUGGGAAAAAAAAGCCACCACUUGUUUAUAAGAUAGUGUAUAAAUGAUAAAGUUUGGCUUUGAGGGAAAAUUUGAGGGAUAAAUUUAAUUAAGCCCUUAAUUUAAUCUAGAACUUCUUAACUUGGGCACAGUGAGUCUCUCUCUCUCUCUCUCUCUCUCUCUCUCUCUCUCUCUCUCUCUCUCUGUGUGUGUGUGUGUGUGUUGUGUGUGUGUUCUGUGCAUUAUAGGAUGAUCACUUAUAUCACAGUCAUGGAAUAGCAAUAGAGAACAGCCCAUUUUCCUUCACAUGACUAAUGAAGGGUCUCUAGACAUUAUUAGAUGCCAUUGAUAAGAAGAAGAGAGACAAAGUAACCCCUGAUGGCAAGCUACUGGUUCUUCCCUACACUUGAUGACCUUUGACUAAGUUCACGGUGACAACAUUGGUGCUAUAGUAACUGCAUCCUUUGAUUAGGAAUAAUUGUCUUCCUACCCAAGGUCUAUACUGACCUUUAAAUACACAUGACUGAUGUGAAUGCUGGCAGCGCUCUUGCCUUUUUGACCCCCACAGAGAUUCUAAAUAGAAAGAGCUUUCUCCAAAGGAAUAGCUACCUUGGCCACCACAGACACAAGCCCAGGAUUCAGAGAAAUUGUAUCUUUAUCAGCCAGGACAAACUUCUUGUUGGAUCUUGGGUUCAACCUACUGUGUUUCCAUCACCCACUCUGAGCAGUGGGAACUGUGGGCUGAAGGUCUUUGAAACCUGGUUCAUGGAUUCAGUUUAGCUGUCUAGUUGCUUGGUUGAACCUUAAGCCUAUGACCUCCACAAUGAACUCAUGAUCUCCCUCAUUUAUUUUUUUUCCUCUCCUUGUCAAACUGGAUUCUCCUCCUUUCUUCUCUGCCAUGGUUUAUUUCUAGCUAACUCCAUUAAUUUCUGGUAGAUGACUGUUCAUACCAGUAUCUGUAUUCAUUUAAUUCCAUAUUCAUAUGUGUAGAUGCUAUGUCUACCUUUAAAUAUAUCCAUGGACAUUGCUGUUGAUAAUGAUGAUAAUGAUGGUGAUGAUGCAGAAGAAGAUGAAGCUAACAUUAAUUGAGUGCUUAUUUCAUGACAGGUAUAACGUGAAAUGUUUUACACGAAUUAUAGCUAUUGUCAGAGCAUCCCUAUUAAAAACAUGCAAAUAUGGAUUAUUCCCAUUUCAGCAAGAAAAAAGUGAGCUUAGAGCAGUAAAGGAGUUCUGUUGAAAUUAUAUCCCUGUCAAGUGGAGGUUCAAGUCACACACUGUGACUUGGCUAUUACCUAAUGCUUUGGGACAACAAAGAACUUAUCCAGAGUCUGUUGCUAGAUACUUGGUGAGGCAAAAAGGAUAUCUGUGAACAUCCAAAAUCCAUAUCAACACCCUAGGAAUAAGUGAUAGAAUCGCAGGAGAGCUUAGAAAAGUCUUCCCAAAGAGACUUCAUGCAUGUGGAUUCAACCUAACCCAAGUUCAUGAAACAGGUGGGCUACAGCCCUGAGUAGUUCCUAUUUGUGGGGAAAUUUGGAAAUUCAGCAACUAUAUGAGCAUAACUCUUGCCACAAAUGGCAGUUUGGACCAAUUCUCUAGGACAAGAAAGCCCCCUUUGUGCAUUGCAAUGGAGUGGGGCCGCCCUUAGACAUCUAGAGGAUCUUGAAUUUGAGGUUCCCAAAUCUUAGAAUCUCAGGAUCCAAAAAAGGGAAGGGUGUGUACAAGUGCACGCACACAUUCCUGAUAGUGACUGAAGGUUCCCUACAAACAAGGGAUAUUUCUGUCUCUUGUUUUCAUAGCAGAGACAUUGAGACUCUGGUUUUAUGCACUUUUUAUGUCCCUGUUGUCCAUGAGAAGAACUGAAAAGGGUCUCUUUGGUAUGAACAACUCUGAUCCACUCUUUGCAUAUAAGUAAUAUUGAAAGGCCAACUUCCAGAAAGUACUGACAGAUGCAUCCUUCAUGGCCCAAGAGAUGGUAUUCGUCAGCUGUCCUUGAUGUGGCUUCUCUUUUGUCUCUUUUGUAUGUUUCCCUCAUCAGUCCUAUCUUCACACAGUCAAGCUACUUUGUGUCUCCUCAGAAGAGCAAUCAGAGACCCAUGUAGGUGUCCCAGAAAGGCAUAAGAAAGGUUGCUGAUCUCCUGACGUGUGAAGACAUUCUGUAAGGCUGACUUAGCCUUACAGUGGCUGACCUUCUGUGUAAACAGAGACUUAAUUACACAGGUCAUGUCAAUUAGUGUGACCUGAGUGUUCUAAAAAAAUUAAUCACUUUCUGAAAAGCUUAGGGAGUGUGGCAUAAGCCUUGUAGAAAACUUGGUACAAUCUCU